CAGGCUGUAAGCACAUUUAAUUUAUUUUUCAGGAUGACACAGCAGCUAAAACAAUUUAGUCCACAAGAAGAUUCCACAAACAAUGCAUCAACAGUCUCCCAAAAUAUACAUAUUUACUUUUAAUUCCUCAGUUGAGGCCAUGGAAAUAAAAAUGGAGGUGAGUGAGAAAAUUAUUGUGGACCCUGAUAAUCACUGAACUAUUGAUAAUGGGGAUAAAAUAAACAUUUGGGGAACUUUACUGGCUACUCAGUGUUAUACCCAUUCACAUUAGAGGUUUAAUUCUUAAGGAAUGAUUUAUGAAAAAAUAAAGGGAUUCUACUGGAACUUCUUGAGACAUACAAACCCUGAGAGAGGCUUAGUAUUUUAAAAAAAACCUAUAGAAAAAUUUGCACUUGGAUAAUCCUGUAGUACCCCAAUUAAUUAGAAGAAAUAUGUUCCAGGGAAGCAUUUCAUUUCUGAAAUCCUGCAACACUCUCCCUAAGACAAUGAACAGGAUUUACUGUGGCUACCAAGUCGUCACUGACCCUGAAGAUUGGUUCCACUCACUCUUUGUGGUUCAAAAAAAGCACACCCAGCUUACCAUUUGGUUUUAGCUUCUUGCUCACAUAGUGUUUGAGGGGUUUUGUUGUUUCUUUUUGACAUACCAUGUGAUUUUAUUCUAAGGAGGUCAAGAACAGGCAAAAAUAUAGGGAAAAAUUUAAACAGUGGUUGCCUCAGAAAGUAGAGAUCAGGGGUUGAUUACCAAGGGGCAUAAGGGGACUUUUGUUUUAUAUCUUCAUUGGAGUAGCUGGUUACACAGGCAUACACUGUCAAAACAUUUAACUGUUUAUGUGACAUCUGUGUAUUACAUUAUAUGCAAAUUUUAUCUGAAAAUGUAAGCUAAAUAUGACUGUGCUCAGAAUUAAUGGAAAAGUGUAGACCUUCCUAAACUCCUUUCAACCCCUGGGGGUGAUGCUUUAAAGCCAGCGAGGUUUCUUUGUAUCCAGACAGAGAAUGUGAGUCCCAGCAUGUAACAAGGGAUGAAGUGGAGGCUAGGCUGGGGCUGAGUAUGAUGACAUGAGGCAGUGUCAAUCAUACUAAGAGGACAACCUGGGACAGGGAUGUGGGCUGCAGGAAGAUGCCCCUUAGGACCAAAACUGCAUCAGAAUUCCCUGGUGAUGAAACCAACAGAUGGAGUUAUUUCUUUUUAAGCUUAAAGAAAGGUCACCAAUAGCUUUUAACAGAUUACAAAUGACUUGACACAUGAUUUCAGAAGUGGGGAAAAUUCUAUGGAGGCAAGAACACUUCAAGAAUCGAUGAAAAAAGAUUUCAUAACAGCGCAGGCCAAAAUUAACAUUGCUAAAGUGGUUCUAUUUUAAUUAACUAGGUGCAGACCAUCUUAUAGUCCUCUGAAUCAAUUGUGACUGUUGUAUUAGACAAUUUUGAAAAUUCUUUGAUAUUUAAAUUUGAUAUUAUUGCUUAACAAUGAAAGGCCUUUUGUUACCUUAAGGUAAAACCUUCACUUUCA
RNAcentral lists this long non-coding RNA (1507 nucleotides) under Homo sapiens (human). RNAcentral describes it as "HSALNT0220114". The record is from RNAcentral. Lineage: Eukaryota; Metazoa; Chordata; Mammalia; Primates; Hominidae.